AAGUCGAGCGGGGAAAGGUAGCUUGCUACCUGACCUAGCGGCGGACGGGUGAGUAAUGCUUAGGAAUCUGCCUAUUAGUGGGGGACAACAUCUCGAAAGGGAUGCUAAUACCGCAUACGUCCUACGGGAGAAAGCAGGGGACCUUCGGGCCUUGCGCUAAUAGAUGAGCCUAAGUCGGAUUAGCUAGUUGGUGGGGUAAAGGCCUACCAAGGCGACGAUCUGUAGCGGGUCUGAGAGGAUGAUCCGCCACACUGGGACUGAGACACGGCCCAGACUCCUACGGGAGGCAGCAGUGGGGAAUAUUGGACAAUGGGGGGAACCCUGAUCCAGCCAUGCCGCGUGUGUGAAGAAGGCCUUUUGGUUGUAAAGCACUUUAAGCGAGGAGGAGGCUACCGAGAUUAAUACUCUUGGAUAGUGGACGUUACUCGCAGAAUAAGCACCGGCUAACUCUGUGCCAGCAGCCGCGGUAAUACAGAGGGUGCAAGCGUUAAUCGGAUUUACUGGGCGUAAAGCGCGCGUAGGUGGCCAAUUAAGUCAAAUGUGAAAUCCCCGAGCUUAACUUGGGAAUUGCAUUCGAUACUGGUUGGCUAGAGUAUGGGAGAGGAUGGUAGAAUUCCAGGUGUAGCGGUGAAAUGCGUAGAGAUCUGGAGGAAUACCGAUGGCGAAGGCAGCCAUCUGGCCUAAUACUGACACUGAGGUGCGAAAGCAUGGGGAGCAAACAGGAUUAGAUACCCUGGUAGUCCAUGCCGUAAACGAUGUCUACUAGCCGUUGGGGCCUUUGAGGCUUUAGUGGCGCAGCUAACGCGAUAAGUAGACCGCCUGGGGAGUACGGUCGCAAGACUAAAACUCAAAUGAAUUGACGGGGGCCCGCACAAGCGGUGGAGCAUGUGGUUUAAUUCGAUGCAACGCGAAGAACCUUACCUGGUCUUGACAUAGUAAGAACUUUCCAGAGAUGGAUUGGUGCCUUCGGGAACUUACAUACAGGUGCUGCAUGGCUGUCGUCAGCUCGUGUCGUGAGAAGUUGGGUUAAGUCCCGCAACGAGCGCAACCCUUUUCCUUAUUUGCCAGCGGGUUAAGCCGGGAACUUUAAAGAUACUGCCAUUGACAAACUGGAAGGAAGGCGGGGACGACGUCAAGUCAUCAUGGCCCUUACGACCAGGGCUACACCGUGCUACAAUGGGCCGGUACAAAGGGUUCUUA
RNAcentral lists this ribosomal RNA (1200 nucleotides) under uncultured Acinetobacter sp. RNAcentral describes it as "bacterial SSU rRNA". It matches the Rfam family "Bacterial small subunit ribosomal RNA", at positions 59 to 1252 of the family's 1533-position model. Lineage: Bacteria; Pseudomonadati; Pseudomonadota; Gammaproteobacteria; Moraxellales; Moraxellaceae. The record is from RNAcentral.